Long non-coding RNA from Triticum dicoccoides, 235 nucleotides. RefSeq lists it as uncharacterized. Lineage: Eukaryota; Viridiplantae; Streptophyta; Magnoliopsida; Poales; Poaceae. The transcript has 3 exons. The record is from RefSeq and is a predicted model, not a curated record.
UGCAGGGGAGAGUAGCAAGACGGUUACUCCACAGAAGAUUCAUUCGGCUUCACCAACACCUAAUACUCGACAACAUGAUGCCCUGAAUGCAAGGGCUGCCGCGGGGGCAAGUAGCAAGACGGUUACUCCACUGAAGAUUCAUUCGGUUUUGCCAACACCUAAUACUCAAAAUCCAGAUGCCCUGAAUGCACGUUCUACCACGGCGAUGAGUACGAAUCACAUUACUCCACUGGCA